Molecule: ribosomal RNA, 301 nt
Filed under: uncultured bacterium
Lineage: Bacteria
Description: partial 16S ribosomal RNA
Rfam family: Bacterial small subunit ribosomal RNA
Source: RNAcentral
CAGCCGCCGCGGGAAUACGUAGGUGGCAAGCGUUGUCCGGAAUUAUUGGGCGUAAAGGGCUCGCAGGCGGUUUCUUAAGUCUGAUGUGAAAGCCCCCGGCUCAACCGGGGAGGGUCAUUGGAAACUGGGAAACUUGAGUGCAGAAGAGGAGAGCGGAAUUCCACGUGUAGCGGUGAAAUGCGUAGAGAUGUGGAGGAACACCAGUGGCGAAGGCGACUCUCUGGUCUGUAACUGACGCUGAGGAGCGAAAGCGUGGGGAGCGAACAGGAUUAGAUACCCGCGUAGUCCCUGUCUCUUAUAC